RNAcentral lists this ribosomal RNA (377 nucleotides) under uncultured bacterium. Its description in RNAcentral is "bacterial SSU rRNA". It matches the Rfam family "Bacterial small subunit ribosomal RNA", at positions 521 to 896 of the family's 1533-position model. The record is from RNAcentral.
UAAUACGUAGGUGGCAAGCGUUGUCCGGAAUUAUUGGGCGUAAAGCGCGCGCAGGCGGUUCCUUAAGUCUGAUGUGAAAGCCCCCGGCUCAACCGGGGAGGGUCAUUGGAAACUGGGGAACUUGAGUACUGAAGAGGAAAGCGGAAUUCCACGUGUAGCGGUGAAAUGCGUAGAGAUGUGGAGGAACACCAGUGGCGAAGGCGGCUUUCUGGUCAGUAACUGACGCUGAGGCGCGAAAGCGUGGGGAGCAAACAGGAUUAGAUACCCUGGUAGUCCACGCCGUAAACGAUGAGUGCUAAGUGUUAGAGGGUUUCCGCCCUUUAGUGCUGCAGCAAACGCAUUAAGCACUCCGCCUGGGGAGUACGGUCGCAAGACUG